CUAAUACCGCAUACGUCCUGAGGGAGAAAGCGGGGGAGUCGCAAGACCUCGCGCGAUUGGAGUGGCCGAUGUCAGAUUAGCUAGUUGGUGGGGUAAAGGCCUACCAAGGCAACGAUCUGUAGCUGGUCUGAGAGGAUGAUCAGCCACACUGGGACUGAGACACGGCCCAGACUCCUACGGGAGGCAGCAGUGGGGAAUUUUGGACAAUGGGGGCAACCCUGAUCCAGCCAUUCCGCGUGAGUGAAGAAGGCCUUCGGGUUGUAAAGCUCUUUCAGCAGGAACGAAACGGCGAGUACUAAUACUGCUCGCUAAUGACGGUACCUGAAGAAGAAGCACCGGCUAACUACGUG
RNAcentral lists this ribosomal RNA (350 nucleotides) under uncultured bacterium. Its description in RNAcentral is "bacterial SSU rRNA". It matches the Rfam family "Bacterial small subunit ribosomal RNA", at positions 163 to 507 of the family's 1533-position model. The record is from RNAcentral.